AGUUUAUAUAAUUUAUAAAGAAUACCGCAUUGAAGCUGCGAAAGAGAUAGAUAUGUCUGUAAAC
This 64-nucleotide transfer RNA is filed under the name Helice tientsinensis. RNAcentral's name for it is "tRNA-Phe". Lineage: Eukaryota; Metazoa; Arthropoda; Malacostraca; Decapoda; Varunidae. RNAcentral also lists the same sequence under 1 other name. The record is from RNAcentral.